AUCUACACGACGAAUUCGCCAUCGGAGGCGUUCUAAUGAGGUUAAUUUACUAGUUCUUUUUCAUUUGUGUGCCUCCAGGAGGGUUUAUUUACUGAUGGAUAGGUAUUUUAAUGGUGUUUGGAUUCAUAUCUGUGUUGGGAAUUUUGAAAAGUUUUAGACUUUUGCUUUGGUGCUUGACAGAUUCCACAUGAGUUGAGCAAAUUGAAUGGAACCCAUUUGCUCAUUAAUGACCAAGAUAAAUACAAAUCAAUGUGGAUUCGAGCACACUCAUCUCUGUGGAUGGUUGGGGGUUUUCUGUUUAUUAUUUACUUGGG
This 314-nucleotide long non-coding RNA is filed under the name Manihot esculenta (cassava). RNAcentral's name for it is "long non-coding RNA (MESC_LNC001838)". The record is from RNAcentral. Lineage: Eukaryota; Viridiplantae; Streptophyta; Magnoliopsida; Malpighiales; Euphorbiaceae.